GUGCGGAAGGUCAGGUCCAGGAACUCUAACUCCUUGUCACUCAAGAAAUGUCCUCCCUUUCAGAAUAUGCCUUGCGCAUGUGUCGUCUCAGUGCCCGGCUAUUUGGUGAAGUCGUCAGGCCUACUGAUUCCAAGUCUAUGAAAGUGGUGAAACUGUUUAGUGAACUGCCCUUGGCCAAGAAGAAGAAGACUUAUGACUGGUAUCCAAAUCACCACACUUACGCUGAACUCAUGCAGACACUCCGAUUUCUUGGACUCUACAGAGACGAGCAUCAGGAUUUUAUGGAUGAGCAGAAACGACUAAAGAAGCUUCGUGGAAAGGAGAAACCAAAGAAUGGAGAAGGGAAAAGAGCAGCAAAAAGGAAAUAGUGUUGGUCCCUCAAGAGGGAGAAUUUAUUCCUCAGUGGCAGAGAGAAGAAAGUGCAUUUAUUGUCUUUCCACAUAUUGGAGGAAUGUCAUCUUCCUAAAUGAAGGUUAUUUGGAGGAACACA
Molecule: RNA transcript, 490 nt
Organism: Piliocolobus tephrosceles (Ugandan red Colobus)
Lineage: Eukaryota; Metazoa; Chordata; Mammalia; Primates; Cercopithecidae
Gene name: 28S ribosomal protein S33, mitochondrial pseudogene
Exons: 1
Source: RefSeq, a predicted model, not a curated record